UGUGUCUCUCCCAGAAGAGGCACAGAGGGUCCCCAAAUGAAAAGACUAAAGGAAAGCAAAUAGGAAAGUUCAAGAGGUAAGGAAAGGUAGAAAGGAGACAUGGGGGUUGGAUAGAUGCCUUUGGUUUCCAAAAACGACAGCCAGUACACCUCACUUCCUCACUUCCUUAUGCAACCUAGAGGACCAUUAUUACACAAAUAUUUAUACAAACAUCGACAUGAGUAAAAGAUACAUCAG
RNAcentral lists this long non-coding RNA (237 nucleotides) under Elaeis guineensis (African oil palm). RNAcentral describes it as "long non-coding RNA (EGUI_LNC026271)". The record is from RNAcentral. Lineage: Eukaryota; Viridiplantae; Streptophyta; Magnoliopsida; Arecales; Arecaceae.